ACGUACACUCCUACGGGAGGCAGCAGUGGGGAAUUUUGGACAAUGGGCGAAAGCCUGAUCCAGCCAUGCCGCGUGCAGGAUGAAGGCCUUCGGGUUGUAAACUGCUUUUGUACGGAACGAAACGGCCUUUUCUAAUAAAGAGGGCUAAUGACGGUACCGUAAGAAUAAGCACCGGCUAACUACGUGCCAGCAGCCGCGGUAAUACGUAGGGUGCAAGCGUUAAUCGGAAUUACUGGGCGUAAAGCGUGCGCAGGCGGUUAUGUAAGACAGUUGUGAAAUCCCCGGGCUCAACCUGGGAACUGCAUCUGUGACUGCAUAGCUAGAGUACGGUAGAGGGGGAUGGAAUUCCGCGUGUAGCAGUGAAAUGCGUAGAUAUGCGGAGGAACACCGAUGGCGAAGGCAAUCCCCUGGACCUGUACUGACGCUCAUGCACGAAAGCGUGGGGAGCAAACAGGAUUAGAUACCCUGGUAGUCCC
Molecule: ribosomal RNA, 476 nt
Filed under: uncultured organism
Description: partial 16S ribosomal RNA
Rfam family: Bacterial small subunit ribosomal RNA
Source: RNAcentral